RNAcentral lists this unclassified non-coding RNA (241 nucleotides) under uncultured fungus. RNAcentral describes it as "sequence contains ITS2". The stretch from base 1 to 52 matches the Rfam family "5.8S ribosomal RNA", at positions 103 to 154 of the family's 154-position model. The record is from RNAcentral. Lineage: Eukaryota; Fungi.
AACGCAAAUUGCGCUCUUUGGUAUUCCGAAGAGCAUGCCUGUUUGAGUGUCAUAAUAACCCUCACCUUUCUGGUUUUAUGAACCAGGAAUUGGUGGUUUGGACGUCUGCCAGCUUCACGGUUGGCUCGUCUUAAAUGCAUUAGUGGAAAUCAAUAGCGUGAUAAGUCUUCGCUUUUAGAACACCACUUUAAUAACCUAUUUCUCUGACCUCAAAUCAGGUAGGACUACCCGCUGAACUUAA